GAUGAACGCUGGCGGCGUGCCUAACACAUGCAAGUCGAACGAGAACCCAUUCUUCGGAUUGGGGGACAGUGGCGAACGGGUGAGUAACACGUUGGUGACCUGCCCCGAAGUGAGGGACAAUCCUGCGAAAGCGGGGCUAAUACCGCAUGUGCUCCAGGGGGUUAGAGGCCCCUGGAGUAAAGCUCCGGCGCUUCGGGAGGGCCUGCGGCCUAUCAGCUAGUUGGUGGGGUAACGGCUCACCAAGGCUAAGACGGGUAGGGGGCGUGAGAGCGUGGCCCCCCACAAUGGAACUGAGACACGGUCCAUACUCCUACGGGAGGCAGCAGUGAGGAAUAUUGCGCAAUGGGGGAAACCCUGACGCAGCAACGCUGCGUGGGUGAUGAAGGCCUUCGGGUCGUAAAACCCUUUUCUGGGGGAAGAGAAAGGACGGUACCUCAGGAAUAAGUCCCGGCUAACUACGUG
RNAcentral lists this ribosomal RNA (462 nucleotides) under uncultured bacterium. RNAcentral's name for it is "bacterial SSU rRNA". It matches the Rfam family "Bacterial small subunit ribosomal RNA", at positions 28 to 507 of the family's 1533-position model. The record is from RNAcentral.